GGGCCCAUAGCUCAGCCAGGUAGAGUGCCGGGCUCCAGAUGAGCUGCAUUGGGUCUUAAGACCCCCUUGUUGGGGGAUGAUAUAGAUCUGGAGGAGAGACCCGGUGGUCCGGGGUUCAAGUCCCCGUGGGCCCA
Molecule: transfer RNA, 134 nt
Filed under: Sulfolobus acidocaldarius DSM 639
Lineage: Archaea; Thermoproteati; Thermoproteota; Thermoprotei; Sulfolobales; Sulfolobaceae
Rfam family: tRNA
About the family: Transfer RNA (tRNA) molecules are approximately 80 nucleotides in length.
Source: Rfam by way of RNAcentral